CAGCUCUGUACUAUUCUACAACUCUGACCAUUGAAUUUGAGCAAUGGCUAGUGAUGUAGAUUAUCUACAGUCCUG
Non-coding RNA from Cordylochernes scorpioides, 75 nucleotides. The record is from the annotation of a GenBank genome assembly. NCBI's taxonomy places the organism in Eukaryota, Metazoa, Arthropoda, Arachnida, Pseudoscorpiones, Chernetidae.